GUGGGGGAGGGAUCGGGCAGAGAUGUGGGGGGACCCCAGGGCUCCAUGGGCCCUGAGGGGGGGUCAUGGGGGUCAUGGGGAAGGAGAUGUUGGGACCAGCCACCUCACCUCCCAUCCUGACCCCCAGGAGGCUCCCAGGAUCAGCCCUUCCCCCCCACGGACUCAGGCCCCCGCAGGGGGGCUGCAGACCCAGAGCCCGAGGACAGAGGCCUGCAGAACAGGUGACUCCUGCCCCAAAGACCCCAGGCUCCCAGCUGCCCGCAGCCCCGUCCGCCCCUAACACCCCCAUCUCCUCCCAGCUCCAGCCCAGCCGCCGACGCCCAGGACCAGAACCUCUGUGAGCAGAAGAGGAGGGCAGCCCUGGGGGUGGGCAUGGAGAGCUCUGCAGCAGGGGGGGAUCCCUGGGGUGGGGGACGAGCACUGAUGCAGC
This 430-nucleotide long non-coding RNA is filed under the name Sus scrofa (pig). RNAcentral's name for it is "lncRNA (ENSSSCG00055015796.1)". The record is from RNAcentral. Lineage: Eukaryota; Metazoa; Chordata; Mammalia; Artiodactyla; Suidae.